This 303-nucleotide ribosomal RNA is filed under the name uncultured bacterium. RNAcentral's name for it is "bacterial SSU rRNA". It matches the Rfam family "Bacterial small subunit ribosomal RNA", at positions 355 to 675 of the family's 1533-position model. The record is from RNAcentral.
UGGGGAAUAUUGCACAAUGGGGGAAACCCUGAUGCAGCGACGCCGCGUGAAGGAAGAAGUAUUUCGGUAUGUAAACUUCUAUCAGCAGGGAAGAAAAUGACGGUACCUGACUAAGAAGCCCCGGCUAACUACGUGCCAGCAGCCGCGGUAAUACGUAGGGGGCAAGCGUUAUCCGGAUUUACUGGGUGUAAAGGGAGCGUAGGCGGUGCAGCAAGUCAGAAGUGAAAGCCCGGGGCUCAACUCCGGGACUGCUUUUGAAACUGUUGAACUAGAUUGCAGGAGAGGUAAGUGGAAUUCCUAGUG